CGCGACUCCGCGCACGUCUGCCACAACUAGGAGCUUGAUCGUCACGUAGAGUGGUAGGCUCAGUCCGUCGAGGAUGUCUUAUUGAUACUUGGACAAUUCAUGAAUAUUUUGGUGAUUCGGUGAUAAAUAUUAAGUUCAUCUGUAUCCCAGUUUUAAUGAAAUUAAAUUUUGGAGACUGAGCGAGAUUGAGUUUAAACAGAAGAAACACAGUUUCAGCAACAGCAACGUAAACAAUCCGGUCAAGAUUACUGUGGUUUAAACAAGGAAGAACAACUCAUCAUUUCAUUAAAUGAGAAACAUCGACGCGCCUUCCAGUUUCUCAGACAUCGAUGCAGAAGACAUCGAUCAUAUCCAGCCCUGUGAUGAGUUGUCCCCUCUAGUAACACCGAGGGGCCUGCCGUAUGGACGGUCAGGCCAGGAAACCUGGUCGUGUGCAUGGGCCCCAGACAACUCGUUCUUUGCCUGGUCCUGUGGCUCCCGCACUGUACAACUUGUUCCCUGGGACAAAAACACAGGACAUCUGACUUCUGAAGCUAAGGAAUACAACAGUUGUGCUGAAAGAAGACAGAGAUUAGUGAAUCAAAUAAGCGAGGAACACCUGACGACCCUACGACUGAUUGAGGAUCUGGUAAAACAGGACAGAAAUGAAGGCAGCAACAAGCAACAAGUUAAAGGACGAAGAGUUCCCCGAUCCAUUGACUGUGGAGGACACAUCUCUGCCGUGGCUUUUGGUACAGGAACGUCAAAGCAUGACUAUCAAUCUGUGUGGAAGAGAUUCAAGUUUGAUGAUGUCCUGAUACUUGCCACAGGGUUACUGAGCGGAAAAAUAAAAACCUGGGACUGCAACACAGGUAAUCUGCUGAUGGAACUAAGUGACCACAGAGACAGUAUCAAGGAGAUCAACUUUGCCCCAGACAGAAGCUUGUUAUUUGUUUCUGCUUCUCGCGACGGGACACUGAAGGUUUGGGAUCUCAAUGAUGAUGGAAAUAUGACAAAAACUUUACGAGGGAAAGCAUCAGUGGCCAACUCCUGUAAAUGGUCGCCAAACUGCAAGAUGAUCGCCAGCGUCGGCAACAAUAAGUCUGUGGCAUUGUUUGACAUGAGUCAUGAGAAUAAGUUUACGCAACUGAAGGGUCAUUAUAACGAUGUGUGUUCCUGUGACUUCUCCCCGGACGGGGCCCUUCUAGCCACCGCUUCCUAUGACACCCGGGUUAUUUUGUGGGACCCUUACACGGGUGACGCCAUAGCUGAGUUGGGACACAUGUUCCCAGAGCCACGCCCAAUAUUUGCUGGAGGUGCCAACGACCAUUACCUGAGGGACGUCAGCUUCUGUAACAACGGCUUACAACUGGUCACUGUCUGUGAUGAUGGCUACAUGCGAGUGUGGGACCUACAGGACACCAGUAACCCGAUGAAUGUCGCCAAUCACAGCAAUGCCCUGUGCUGUUCAGUCUCCCCGAAUGGACACACCAUCGCUGUAGGAAGUGAUCUUUAUGGAAAAGUCAAAUAGACUGUACAUGAUGUACAGAGGACGUGUCUUUGCAGUUCACAAUCGACUCGCAGGCUGCGCGGAAAGCCAAAACUUUCCAGCACAGCCUCAUGAAUAUGCAAAGUGAACAGUCAUGUGACUAGUUAAUUGUGUGAGUGACAGGGACGGAGGUGUAGCGUUCUACAGGACCCCCAACAAAGUGGCCAGUCUACAGCACCAGACACGUCGCACCAUCCGCACACUUGUACCAUCCAAUAUCAUCGACCAUCUCCAUCUGCCACUCCGCAUCAAGGAGUACCUCAAGUACCAUGCCAUCUAGGACUAUGUUGUGACUAAGAGUACGAUAUCUUUUAGGACUGGUACCAAGGGAACUACACCAUCUAAGACGAAGCCGUGUUCCAGGAGAACUUUACUGUCUAGGAUCAGUUACUGCACCAGGGCAUGCACCAUCUUCAGCAUUUCUACAGUGGCAGACUUCAUAAUUUAUCAGUGAAGAACUUCUUUAUCUGUAGAACUUUCUAUCACGCCACAGCCAUUCCACAAGUUCAACU
RNAcentral lists this unclassified non-coding RNA (2040 nucleotides) under Mizuhopecten yessoensis (Yesso scallop). Its description in RNAcentral is "wD repeat and SOCS box-containing protein 1-like, transcript variant X1". The record is from RNAcentral. Lineage: Eukaryota; Metazoa; Mollusca; Bivalvia; Pectinida; Pectinidae.